UGGGGAAUAUUGCACAAUGGGCGCAAGCCUGAUGCAGCCAUGCCGCGUGUAUGAAGAAGGCCUUCGGGUUGUAAAGUACUUUCAGCGGGGAGGAAGGUGUUGAGGCUAAUAACCUCAGCAAUUGACGUUACCCGCAGAAGAAGCACCGGCUAACUCCGUGCCAGCAGCCGCGGUAAUACGGAGGGUGCAAGCGUUAAUCGGAAUUACUGGGCGUAAAGCGCACGCAGGCGGUCUGUCAAGUCGGAUGUGAAAUCCCCGGGCUCAACCUGGGAACUGCAUUCGAAACUGGCAGGCUAGAGUCUUGUAGAGGGGGGUAGAAUUCCAGGUGUAGCGGUGAAAUGCGUAGAGAUCUGGAGGAAUACCGGUGGCGAAGGCGGCCCCCUGGACAAAGACUGAUGCUCAGGUGCGAAAGCGUGGGGAGCAAACA
Molecule: ribosomal RNA, 427 nt
Filed under: uncultured bacterium
Lineage: Bacteria
Description: partial 16S ribosomal RNA
Rfam family: Bacterial small subunit ribosomal RNA
Source: RNAcentral